GCAGAAUUGGGGGACCAGCUGGUUGAAGGACUAAGGCAGUAAAUGAGGCAAAGCCAAGCAGAAUGAGAAGGUUCCACUUCCCGAGGCCUAAGCUGAAUUCUUUUGUCUGGGCGGUGAUGAUUAUCAAGGCAAGAUUUCUCUCUUUCUGGGGCUGUCAACAGUCUGGCAGGCUCACACCUCAUUACUUGGCAACAGGUGCAAAGCAAUAAAUCAAGCCGGGAAAAUGUCACUCAGUGGGGACUCCUCAUCUCGGGAGACUCAAUAUUUUUCCUCGAUUCCCAUGGCUAGAGGGCAGAGAAGAAGCCGGCAAGGUCCUGCUGUCCACCGUCCACGAUGAGGCUGGGAUGAAGAGGCAGGAAGGAAGGGUUGCAGGUGGACGCUGCCUCUCUUGAGUGGAAGAGCGCCAAGGCUAAAUGAAAUUGUCUCCGGGCAGGAGCCGGGCCUGGCAGAGUGAACCACUUUGGGAAGGCAGCGUAGGUCUGGGUGGCCUCCUGCUUCCUUGGAUGGCAAUCACGGCUGCAGCCCUCCACCGCAGCGCCCCCCUCCCCGCCACACAACCAAUUCAAGCUUAUCUAAUAAAGAUCCAGAUCAAGCAGACCAAAUGAAAAGGCACUGGAGUCUGAAAGCAACUAAUCGAAUUGGAUUAGCUCUUUUCAACAGCUAAUUUUACCUUUCACUUGUAAAACCUGUAGAUUCCA
Long non-coding RNA from Candoia aspera, 698 nucleotides. RefSeq lists it as uncharacterized. The transcript has 2 exons. The record is from RefSeq and is a predicted model, not a curated record. NCBI's taxonomy places the organism in Eukaryota, Metazoa, Chordata, Lepidosauria, Squamata, Candoiidae.